AAAAUCUCGUCUUCCUCCAACCUGUGCAAUCCAAGUUCUAAUGUGGAUAAAUUACAGAACGGUGCCAGCCCGUGAGCCUCUGAAAUCCAGAAAAUCCAGGUGGGAGAACAAGUGGUGGUUCUAUUGGCCAAAAGGAGCUGUUGAGGGCUGGAAGAGCUUGCUGGAAGGUCUGUACUAAAAUUCGGCCAACUGACAGAUACCGGAACUGUAUAUCUGGGGUUUUCUGGGAAGGGGCUUUUCGAGCGCAGAGGCUUCCUCCUGGGCUAGUACUUCCCACUACACCAUGACAUGAUGGUGGUUUUAGUCACCCCAGCAUCACAAUGCAAUGAUGCACAGACUCAGUCCUGGUGAACCAGCUGUAAAAUGUAGUACCUCUUUCCCUGCUGAAUGGAACUCCGAGUGGCUGGGUGCAAUACCACGGGCGUGAACACCACGGCUUUGGGCUCCAGCUGCUGCCUUCACCAUUACCCAAACCUAGUCAUAUGGAGAAACUCUGAAUUCUGUAAUUCAAUGACCCCAGGUGGUAUCCUUCACAGCCUGUCUGAUCUACAUGGACAAGCAAUCAGCACAGAACCAGCAGUGGCAAAUUGUCUUCCAUCUGGCCUAGUGCAUAUACAAGAUCUGUUCUACACUGAGAUGCAAAGAAUCAAAGGAUAUCCCUACUGAACUGAGAAGGUAGCUGGUGUGGAAUAAAUUUGUUGAGCCAAAUUAAUCCUUGGUGUAAGUGCAGCUCUCAAAGCUCCUUACAAGUGAUGUGAACUGUUACAUUCUCUUUUUAAUAGUAGUAAUAACAAUAAAUAAUAAUAAGUA
Caretta caretta (loggerhead turtle) is the source of this 810-nucleotide long non-coding RNA. RefSeq lists it as uncharacterized. Lineage: Eukaryota; Metazoa; Chordata; Testudines; Cheloniidae. The record is from RefSeq and is a predicted model, not a curated record.